This is a long non-coding RNA of Rhododendron vialii, 248 nucleotides long. RefSeq lists it as uncharacterized. NCBI's taxonomy places the organism in Eukaryota, Viridiplantae, Streptophyta, Magnoliopsida, Ericales, Ericaceae. The transcript has 2 exons. The record is from RefSeq and is a predicted model, not a curated record.
CAAAACAAAUUUUUUGCCACAAACGUAUCAGCCCCCUCCCUCUAAAGAAACAAAACUGUGUUUGUGUGUGCAUGCACGGGGCUAAGGGUCCAUGCGUGCGCACGUGUGGGUGUGUGACAGAGAGUAGAGAGAGAGAGAGAGAGAGAGAGAUUAUCGUAAUCUUAAUUGGGAAAAAAAAAAAGGUUCGCACUGUUGUAUUAUUUGGAUCAUCCUCGCUCUGAGUUCCUCGAGUAUUCGGAUAUGAAGCU